This 468-nucleotide ribosomal RNA is filed under the name uncultured bacterium. RNAcentral's name for it is "partial 16S ribosomal RNA". It matches the Rfam family "Bacterial small subunit ribosomal RNA", at positions 28 to 507 of the family's 1533-position model. The record is from RNAcentral.
GACGAACGCUGGCGGCGUGCUUAACACAUGCAAGUCGAACGGAAGGGCCCUGCUUUUGUGGGGUGCUUGAGUGGCGAACGGGUGAGUAACACGUGAGUAACCUGCCCUUGACUUAGGGAUAACUUCAGGAAACUGGGGCUAAUACCGGAUAGGAGCUCCUGCUGCAUGGUGGGGGAUGGAAAGAUUCGGCGGUUGGGGAUGGACUCGCGGCUUAUCAGCUUGUUGGGGGGGUAGUGGCUUACCAAGGCUUGGACGGGUAGCCGGCCUGAGAGGGUGACCGGCCACAUUGGGACUGAGGUACGGCCCAGACUCCUACGUGAGGCAGCAGUGGGGAAUAUUGCGCAAUGGGCGGAAGCCUGAUGCAGCAACGCCGCGUGCGGAAUGACGGCCUUCGGGUUGUAAACCGCUUUCGCCUGUGACGAAGCGUGAGUGACGGUAAUGGGUAAAGAAGCACCGGCUAACUACGUG